ACAAACUUGGUCAUUUAGAGGAAGUAAAAGUCGUAACAAGGUCAUCGUAGGUGAACCUGCGGUGGGAUCAUCAAAAGAACCAAAUCUUUUCUGCGGAUCUGCUGCCCGCAAGGGCGCGUUUCUGCACCUUUUGUGAACCUUCCAUGGCUCUUUCAGCCGGGUCCGCCUGGUUGGGAGAUGCCGUGAACAUGUGUUGCUGCCAGUUUAGUGCUGGCAGCAAUUUUCUAUACAAAACUCAAUUAAAACUGAUAAUGUAUACUGCUGAAACCUGACUAGUGUAUUCUGGUCUAAUAGUUAAUACAACUAUCAAUGGUGGAUCACUUGGCUCUUGCAUCGAUGAAGAACGCAGC
Molecule: unclassified non-coding RNA, 350 nt
Filed under: uncultured fungus
Lineage: Eukaryota; Fungi
Description: partial contains small subunit ribosomal RNA, internal transcribed spacer 1, and 5.8S ribosomal RNA
Rfam family: Eukaryotic small subunit ribosomal RNA (bases 1-73)
Source: RNAcentral